This 549-nucleotide ribosomal RNA is filed under the name uncultured archaeon. Its description in RNAcentral is "bacterial SSU rRNA". It matches the Rfam family "Archaeal small subunit ribosomal RNA", at positions 1 to 559 of the family's 1478-position model. The record is from RNAcentral.
UUCCGGUUGAUCCUGCCGGACCCGACUGCUAUCAGAGUGGGACUAAGCCAUGCGAGUCAACGCAGCAAUGCGUGGCAUACGGCUCAGUAACACGUAGUCAACAUGCCCAGGGGACGUGGAUAACCUCGGGAAACUGAGGAUAAACCGCGAUAGGCCAAGGUUUCUGGAAUGGAUCAUGGCUGAAACCUACAUGGCCCCUGGAUUGGACUGCGGCCGAUCAGGCUGUUGGUGAGGUAAUGGCCCACCAAACCUGUAACCGGUACGGGCUCUGAGAGGAGGAGCCCGGAGAUGGGCACUGAGACAAGGGCCCAGGCCCUAUGGGGCGCAGCAGGCGCGAAACCUCUGCAAUAGGCGAAAGCUUGACAGGGUUACUCUGAGUGAUGUCCGCUAAGGGCAUCUAUAGGCACUUCUAAAAAUAGUGUAGAAUAAGGGGUGGGCAAGUCUGGUGUCAGCCGCCGAGGUAAUACCAAGAACCCGAGUGGUCGAGACGACUAUUGGGCCUAAAGCAUCGGAACCGGUACUGCAAGUCUUCCGAUAACUCCAACAUGC